GGUUAAGCGACUAAGCGUACACGGUGGAUGCCCUGGCAGUCAGAGGCGAUGAAGGACGUGCUAAUCUGCGAUAAGCGUCGGUAAGGUGAUAUGAACCGUUAUAACCGGCGAUUUCCGAAUGGGGAAACCCAGUGUGUUUCGACACACUAUCAUUAACUGAAUCCAUAGGUUAAUGAGGCGAACCGGGGGAACUGAAACAUCUAAGUACCCCGAGGAAAAGAAAUCAACCGAGAUUCCCCCAGUAGCGGCGAGCGAACGGGGAGCAGCCCAGAGCCUGAAUCAGUAUGUGUGUUAGUGGAAGCGUCUGGAAAGGCGCGCGAUACAGGGUGACAGCCCCGUACACAAAAAUGCACAUGCUGUGAGCUCGAUGAGUAGGGCGGGACACGUGGUAUCCUGUCUGAAUAUGGGGGGACCAUCCUCCAAGGCUAAAUACUCCUGACUGACCGAUAGUGAACCAGUACCGUGAGGGAAAGGCGAAAAGAACCCCGGCGAGGGGAGUGAAAAAGAACCUGAAACCGUGUACGUACAAGCAGUGGGAGCACGCUUAGGCGUGUGACUGCGUACCUUUUGUAUAAUGGGUCAGCGACUUAUAUUCUGUAGCAAGGUUAACCGAAUAGGGGAGCCGAAGGGAAACCGAGUCUUAACUGGGCGUUAAGUUGCAGGGUAUAGACCCGAAACCCGGUGAUCUAGCCAUGGGCAGGUUGAAGGUUGGGUAACACUAACUGGAGGACCGAACCGACUAAUGUUGAAAAAUUAGCGGAUGACUUGUGGCUGGGGGUGAAAGGCCAAUCAAACCGGGAGAUAGCUGGUUCUCCCCGAAAGCUAUUUAGGUAGCGCCUCGUGAAUUCAUCUCCGGGGGUAGAGCACUGUUUCGGCAAGGGGGUCAUCCCGACUUACCAACCCGAUGCAAACUGCGAAUACCGGAGAAUGUUAUCACGGGAGACACACGGCGGGUGCUAACGUCCGUCGUGAAGAGGGAAACAACCCAGACCGCCAGCUAAGGUCCCAAAGUCAUGGUUAAGUGGGAAACGAUGUGGGAAGGCCCAGACAGCCAGGAUGUUGGCUUAGAAGCAGCCAUCAUUUAAAGAAAGCGUAAUAGCUCACUGGUCGAGUCGGCCUGCGCGGAAGAUGUAACGGGGCUAAACCAUGCACCGAAGCUGCGGCAGCGACGCUGAUGCGUUGUUGGGUAGGGGAGCGUUCUGUAAGCCUGCGAAGGUGUGCUGUGAGGCAUGCUGGAGGUAUCAGAAGUGCGAAUGCUGACAUAAGUAACGAUAAAGCGGGUGAAAAGCCCGCUCGCCGGAAGACCAAGGGUUCCUGUCCAACGUUAAUCGGGGCAGGGUGAGUCGACCCCUAAGGCGAGGCCGAAAGGCGUAGUCGAUGGGAAACAGGUUAAUAUUCCUGUACUUGGUGUUACUGCGAAGGGGGGACGGAGAAGGCUAUGUUGGCCGGGCGACGGUUGUCCCGGUUUAAGCGUGUAGGCUGGUUUUCCAGGCAAAUCCGGAAAAUCAAGGCUGAGGCGUGAUGACGAGGCACU
RNAcentral lists this ribosomal RNA (1534 nucleotides) under Escherichia coli. Its description in RNAcentral is "partial 23S ribosomal RNA". It matches the Rfam family "Bacterial large subunit ribosomal RNA", at positions 1 to 1578 of the family's 2925-position model. Lineage: Bacteria; Pseudomonadati; Pseudomonadota; Gammaproteobacteria; Enterobacterales; Enterobacteriaceae. The record is from RNAcentral.